CCUACGGGAGGCAGCAGUGGGGAAUAUUGGACAAUGGGCGAAAGCCUGAUCCAGCAAUGCCGCGUGAGUGAUGAAGGCCUUAGGGUUGUAAAGCUCUUUACCAGGGAUGCAGUACCUGGAGAAUAAGCCCGGCUAACUCCGUGCCAGCAGCCGCGGUAAUACGGAGGGGCUAGCGUUGUUCGGAAUUACUGGGCGUAAAGCGCACGUAGGCGGCCAUUCAAGUCAGAGGUGAAAGCCCGGGGCUCAACCCCGGAACUGCCUUUGAAACUAGAUGGCUUGAAUCUUGGAGAGGCGAGUGGAAUUCCGAGUGUAGAGGUGAAAUUCGUAGAUAUUCGGAAGAACACCAGUGGCGAAGGCGACUCGCUGGACAGAUUGACGCUGAGGUGCGAAAGCGUGGGGAGCAAACAGGAUUAGAUACCCUUGUAGUC
This 428-nucleotide ribosomal RNA is filed under the name uncultured bacterium. RNAcentral's name for it is "partial 16S ribosomal RNA". It matches the Rfam family "Bacterial small subunit ribosomal RNA", at positions 338 to 795 of the family's 1533-position model. The record is from RNAcentral.